This 836-nucleotide long non-coding RNA is filed under the name Cucumis sativus (cucumber). RNAcentral describes it as "long non-coding RNA (CSAT_LNC001241)". Lineage: Eukaryota; Viridiplantae; Streptophyta; Magnoliopsida; Cucurbitales; Cucurbitaceae. The record is from RNAcentral.
CGAUUCAUCUUCUUUAUUUCGACUUUUCGAAGAAAAUGAGCUGAAGAAUGCAAAGGAUUUAUAGAGGUUCAAGUACUAUAUAAGCCUACAUCCUCUGUGAAGCAACCAUGGAGCAUUUUAUUUCUUUUCUUUUUCCCUUACAUUUUUUUCAUCUAAGGUUCUCUAUUUAGAAUUUCUUACAAGGUUACACAUUAGUUGAGAGAAAGGAGUUCUAACUAAUUAACAGAUUUCUAGUUUGCUUUUGUUGUAGGGCUAACGGAGUUGUCGAGCUUGGUUAAUUUCUGAUGAACUGUUAACAAGAGGUUGAACUGCAGUUGGAAGGUAAAUAAAAUUGACUCUCUCUUUAACAUAAACGUAGCCCACGAAAGCAGUAACAGUCUUUCUCCUUUUGCCUUUAACCAAAUAAAAUGAGUAACAUAAAAUAUUAUUAGUAGGUUGGGGUUAGGAAGUCACAAAAAAACACACAUCGUCAUCAUUAUACCUAUGUCCUGCUUGAAUUCCGCAUUUUGAUUGAUUGAUGUGUUUUAAAAUUAAAACUCUUCAGUAAUUGAAAUAAGAAAAGAAACAAACAAAAGAAGGAAACUCAUAUCUCCGAUCCGACACUUCCAUUAUGGAUAGAUACGCGGUGCGGUGCGGCUCUUCAUCCCCUCAAUUUCCCAACUUUUUCUUUUCUUUUCUUUUCUUUUCCUUUUUGUAAUAAAAUAAAACUACAGGUUUAUUGUUAUAAAUAAAAUUUCAACGAAGAAAACUGUGACAGAAACAUCACCACUUUUUGCUUCCCUCAUCACACCCACUAAUUAGGUCAACUCUGAAGGCUGCCUAACUUUAUAAUCAUC